This 226-nucleotide non-coding RNA is filed under the name Microbacterium trichothecenolyticum. RNAcentral describes it as "Intron_gpI". It matches the Rfam family "Group I catalytic intron". Rfam says of the family: Group I catalytic introns are large self-splicing ribozymes. They catalyse their own excision from mRNA, tRNA and rRNA precursors in a wide range of organisms. The core secondary structure consists of 9 paired regions (P1-P9). Lineage: Bacteria; Bacillati; Actinomycetota; Actinomycetes; Micrococcales; Microbacteriaceae. The record is from RNAcentral.
CAACGGACUUCAACAGAACAAAAUGGAGCGCCGGCGCAGAAAUGCGUCGGAUGACCGCCGCUAUAUGCUGGGACGCCCUGAGAGCCCGAGGUACUCGCCGGAGACGGCAGUGACAAUCCGAGGGAUUGGGUAAUCAGCAGGUAACCGCAAGGGAACCUCAGAGACUACACGCGGCGCACCUGACCGGUCCGGCCGAAGGUGAAGAUAUAGUCCAGACUGCAAGCCG